Hemiscyllium ocellatum (epaulette shark) is the source of this 1356-nucleotide long non-coding RNA. RefSeq lists it as uncharacterized. The transcript is spliced from 3 exons. The record is from RefSeq and is a predicted model, not a curated record. Lineage: Eukaryota; Metazoa; Chordata; Chondrichthyes; Orectolobiformes; Hemiscylliidae.
UUUACUGCCCAUCUUAGUUGCCCUUCAGAAGCUGUCGGUAAGCUGCUGCAUGAACUGCUGCAGUCCAUGCGCUGUCGGUAGCUGCACAAUGUUGUUCAGAAGGGAAUUUUAUGAUUCUGACCCAGUGACAGUGAAAGGAUAUUUCCAAGUCUGGAUGGGAAGUGGCUUGAAGGGGAACGUGCAAGUUGUGUUGUUCCCAUGAAUCUGCUACCCUCGUCCAUCGAGAUGGAAGUGGUUGUGGAUUUAUAAGACAUCAAGAAGAUCCUUAUUUUCCAACUGGGCCUGACAAGAGAGGACUAAGAUUAUUUAUCUUUAAGGCCUUGGAUAAAGAGUGCUGAAAUUGUUUUUCCGAAUCAAAGCUUGAACUCUGUUGAACGUGAAAGAUCUGGACUGAGGUAACAGAAAUCCACAGGAUUGGCAGAAGCACAGUCUAAUGGAGAGUGAUAGCGCUUGACAUCAAGGCUGCAUUUCGUUGAAAGUGACAUCAAGGAAUACUAGCAAAACUGAAAUCAAUGGGAAUCGGGGAAAACGCUGCACUGGUUGGAGUUAUACCAAGCACAAAGGAAGAUGGUUGUGGUUGUUUGACAUCAGUCAUCUCAGCACCAGGUCAUAUCUGAAGGGGUUCCCUAGGGUGGUGUCCUCGACCCAACCAUCUUCAGCUGCUUCAUCAAUGACAUUCCCUCCAUCAUAAGGUCAGAAAUCGUUCACCAAUAAUUGCAUAACAUUCAGCACCAUUUGUGACUCCUCAGUUACUGAACCAGUGCAAAUCCAAAUGAAAGAACACCUUGACAGUAUCCAGGUUUCAGCUGAAAAAUGGCAAGUAAUAGUCAUGCCAUGUAACUGCCAGGUAAUGACAAUUUCCAAUAAUAUACAACCUACCCAAAAAGCUUUGACAUUCAAUGAUGUUACCAUCAGUGAAUUCCUCCAUUAUCAACAAACUGGGAUUAUCCUUGAUCAGAAAUUCAACUUGACUUGCCAUACAAACACAGUGCCUGCAAGAGCAGGUCAGAGGCAAGGAACACUUCCCCAAAGCCUAUUCAUCAUCUACAGGGCUUAAGUCAGGAGUGAAAUGCAAUGUUCCCCAUUUGCCUGGGUGUGUUCAGCUCCAACAACAAUAAAAAAGCUUGAUAGCAUUCAGGACAAAGCAGCCAGCUUUACUGGCAACACAUCCAUAAUUUAAUGACUUUGUUGUUGGUGGGGUCCAGUGCCAGCAUCAACACUGUCAGUAGCAUAAUGGCAACACGGCCACAUCCACUUGUUGGGCCACAGCGAGAGUCGAGACUCCAAUGUUAGAGCUGGCUCUGAACCCGAGUGUAGAUAGACUUCUCUUUAUGCUCGAUCUUUUCAUUUUUGUCU